UGCUAUAGGACCUAAUUUGCUGAGCAUUAGAUACUAUAGCCAAAGAGUGAUCCUGUUGUUGAAAUGCAAGAUCUUGAUUGAUGUCCUCAUAUUGCUCCAAGGUAUCACGUACUAUCAUUCCAUCAUGAGUUCCAUAUUUAUUCUAUUCUGGUGAAAAAAAUUCUUCAUAAUUAUCUUUAUUUUUAUCUACAACCACAUCCCCGGUAGCAUCCGAGUCUGCAUUUUUGUCAGCACUAUCACUUACUAUCAUUCCACCAUGAAUGCCAUCUUUAUCAUGUUUGGUUGACAAAAAUUCAUCUUUAUUUAGAGCUUCAGUAACAUCCCUCUUUCCCACCCAAUUUCUUGUUUCAUUACCUUUUGGUUGGUUACUAUCAAUGGGGUGCUUCAUUGGGACUGAAACUUUAGUGCUUAACUCCACCACAUUUUGAUUAACAUCUUCAUGUGAUAUGUCUCCUCUGUUGUUCCCUCAUUUUCAUUUGUUGAAUUAGUUAACUAUUACACCUAACAUCUUCAUUGUUUUCCCCCUCCUCAUCGUUGACAGUCUCUAAAGCUGCAUACUGGUUGUGUGAUCCAAUUUUUGUGCUAUUAUUUUUCAUUUGUGGAUCCUGUGGAUUAACUUUGUUCUUCCCUUUCUUAUUUUCAACUUCAUUCCAAUCACCGGGGUUUCCCACUAUCUUUUCACUAGUUAGUCUCCUAGGAAAAGAACCAGUGGGUUGGGAUUGUUGCAUAUUUCCCCCUUUCACUUGGCUAGAUUUUUUAUUAUCACCAUGUAAUUGUUUAUUAUCCCUAUCAGUUUUGUUUCUACAAUUAGCCCCCAUAUACAAUCCUGCUUCCAUCUUAUAGCCCUCUUUCGAGAUUUCGAGAUUGCUAGUUCAGGAUGAAUUACCCUACACUCAUACAUGUUAUGGCCUUGGAGUUCGCAUUCUUUGUUAUAUUUGGGAAAGUAAUCAUACUGAAUAUUAACUUUGAUUGUUCUUAUAACACCCGGAGCUUCAUCUUCAAUAUCCAUUCUCACAUGAUCAGGUAAAUUGGCCAUUUAAUCAACUAGACCUUAACUUUGGCACAACUAGGCCUAGUUUUAUUAAUUGUGGCCAUAUCUAAAUGAAUAGGAGUUCCUACUACCGAUGCUAAGGAGAAUAAAGACUCCUUGACAAAAUAGAUUGGUAGCAAGUUGGGAAAUGAUAUCGAAGCCACAGCCAUCGUAGUCUCCUCUUCCACAAUAAAUUUGGAGUCAUAUAUCAACGGUCUCAUUUGAUAGGAGGCACCAUCUUUAGACUUGAUGUAGAAAGCAACCUUCGGUGUAAUAUUAAUGAAAUCUUCUUUAAGGGACAAUCUAAUUAGAAUAUGCCUAUUUAUGAAAUAACCAAUCUGUCGGUCACCUUUGAUGUUACAUUGCACAGGAAUAGCUGUACGCAACUCCUCCAGAUCCAGCCAACCAUAUGAAAAAUUUCCCACAAUAGCAUGUUGCAGAUUUUCAAUUAUGUUCAUUGUGGCAAACUUCAGAUUCAGACCAUUUGAU
This 1519-nucleotide long non-coding RNA is filed under the name Capsicum annuum. RNAcentral describes it as "long non-coding RNA (CANN_LNC013509)". Lineage: Eukaryota; Viridiplantae; Streptophyta; Magnoliopsida; Solanales; Solanaceae. The record is from RNAcentral.